Molecule: ribosomal RNA, 2112 nt
Filed under: metagenome
Description: bacterial LSU rRNA
Rfam family: Bacterial large subunit ribosomal RNA
Source: RNAcentral
GCAGGUUGAAGCGCGGGUAAGACCGCGUGGAGGACCGAACCCACCUGGGUUGAAAACCGGGGGGAUGACCUGGGGCUAGGGGUGAAAGGCCAAUCAAAUUCCGUGAUAGCUGGUUCUCUCCGAAAUGCAUUUAGGUGCAGCGUCGGCUUAUUGCAUCGCGGGGGUAGAGCUACCGGAUGCUUGCGGGCCCUUGUGGGGUACCAACAGCAGCCGAACUCCGAAUACCGUUGAUGUGUAUGCCGGCAGUGAGUCGGCGGGGGAUAAGCUCCGUCGUCGAGAGGGAGACAGCCCAGAUCGUCGUCUAAGGUCCCGAAGCGUGUGCUAAGUGGGAAAGGAUGUGGAGUCGCAUAGACAGCCAGGAGGUUGGCUCAGAAGCAGCCAUCCUUGAAAGAGUGCGUAACAGCUCACUGGUCUAGUGGUUCCGCGCCGACAAUGUAGCGGGGCUCAAGCACACCACCGAAGACGCGGCAGCGGCCUUUGCGGCCGUUGGGUAGGAGAGCGUCCCGCGUGGGGCGAAGCGGCCGGGGAACCGUGCCGUGGACCGCGCGGGAGUGAGAAUGCAGACAUGAGUAGCGAGAGACGGGUGAGGAUCCCGUCCGCCGGAUGACCAAGGGUUCCGGGGCCACGUUCGUCGUCCCCGGGUGAGUCGGGUCCUAAGGCGAGGCCGACAGGCGUAGUCGAAUGGAUGAACGGGUGGAUAUUCCCGUACCGGCAGCGAACCGACAGGACCGAGGCGGUGAGUACUAACCUCCGUCGCGGGCCGUUCCCCUCCUUCGGGUGGGGUCCGGCGCGUGGCGUUGGGAGCGUAGCCGUGGUAGGUGAGCGCAGGGGUGACACGGAAUGGGAGCCGGCCGCGGAGGUGGUUUUCCGUGGUCAAGCACGCAGCCCGUCCCAUAGGCAAAUCCGUGGGACGCAUAGGGUGAGGUGUGAUGAUGGGCGUCCUUUGGACGCGAUAUCCGGUGGUCCAGGCCGUCGAGAAAAGCCCCGGCGUCAGGCGCGUUGCCGCCCGUACCCCAAACCGACACUGGUGGUCAGGUAGAGAAUACCAAGGCGAUCGAGCGAAUCCUGGUCAAGGAACUCGGCAAACCGCUCCCGUGCCUUCGGCAUAAGGGAGACCCCCGCGGGUGAACGGACAUGCUCCGGGAGCGUGUGGGGGUGGCACAGACCAGGGGGUAGCGACUGUUUACCAAAAACACAGGUGCAUGCGAAGGCGCAAGCCGCUGUAUAUGCACUGACGCCUGCCCGGUGCCGGAAGGUUAAGAGGAUCCGUCAGCCCCUCUUGGGGGUGAAGCGGUGAAUUCAAGCCCCGGUAAACGGCGGUGGUAACUAUAACCAUCCUAAGGUAGCGAAAUUCCUUGUCGGGUAAGUUCCGACCUGCACGAAUGGCGUAACGACUUCCCCACUGUCUCGACCAGGAGCUCGGCGAAAUUGCAGUACGAGUAAAGAUGCUCGUUAAGCGCAGAAGGACGAAAAGACCCCGGGACCUUUACUAUACCUUGGUAUUGGCGUUAGGCGCGGAUUGUGUAGCAUAGGCGGGAGGCUUCGAAGCAUGGGCGCCAGCCCGUGUGGAGCCGCAAGGUGAAAUACCGCUCUGUUCUCGUUUGACGUCUAACCUCGAACAGUCAUCCUGUUCAGGGACAGUGCCUGGCGGGUAGUUUAACUGGGGCGGUUGCCUCCCAAAGAGUAACGGAGGCGCUCAAAGGUCCGCUCAGCCCGGUUGGCAAUCGGGUGUCGAGUGCAAUCGCACAAGCGGGCUUGACUGCGAGGACGGCGGUCCGAGCAGGGACGAAAGUCGGAGAUAGUGAUCCGGUGCCGGCGCACGGGCGCGGCAUCGCUCAACGGAUAAAAGGUACCCCGGGGAUAACAGGCUGAUCAUUCCCAAGAGUCCAUAUCGACGGGAUGGUUUGGCACCUCGAUGUCGGCUCGUCGCAUCCUGGGGCUGGAGCAGGUCCCAAGGGUUCGGCUGUUCGCCGAUUAAAGCGGCACGCGAGCUGGGUUCAGAACGUCGUGAGACAGUUUGGUCUCUAUCCUCUGCGCUCGUUGGAAUCCUGAGGAGGCCUGCCCAUAGUACGAGAGGACCUGGGUGGACGAACCUCUGGUAUGCCGGUUGUC